UACGAAGGGUGCAAGCGUUACUCGGAAUUACUGGACGUAAAGCGUGCGUAGGUGGUUUGUUAAGUCUGAUGUGAAAGCCCUGGGCUCAACCUGGGAAUUGCAUUGGAUACUGGCAGGCUAGAGUGCGGUAGAGGAUGGCGGAAUUCCCGGUGUAGCAGUGAAAUGCGUAGAGAUCGGGAGGAACAUCUGUGGCGAAGGCGGCCAUCUGGACCAGCACUGACACUGAGGCACGAAAGCGUGGGGAGCAAACAGGG
RNAcentral lists this ribosomal RNA (254 nucleotides) under uncultured bacterium. Its description in RNAcentral is "partial 16S ribosomal RNA". It matches the Rfam family "Bacterial small subunit ribosomal RNA", at positions 524 to 777 of the family's 1533-position model. The record is from RNAcentral.